CCUACGGGAGGCAGCAGUAGGGAAUAUUGCUCAAUGGGGGAAACCCUGAAGCAGCAACGCCGCGUGGAGGAUGACGGUUUUCGGAUUUUAAACUCCUUUUGUUAGAGAAGAUAAUGACGGUAUGUAACGAAUAAGCCCCGGCUAACUCCGUUCCAGCAGCCGCGGCAAUACGGAGGGUGCAGGCGUUACCCGGAAUGACUGGGCGUAAAGGGCGCGUAGGCGGGAUAGCAAGUCAGAUGUGAAAUCCUACGGCUUAACCAUAGAACUGCAUUUGAAACUGGUAUUCUAGAGUAUGGGAGAGGUAGGUGGAAUUCGUGGUGUAGGGGUAAAAUCCUUAGAGAUCAAGAGGAAUACUCAUUGCGAAGGCGACCUGCUAGAACAUAACUGACGCUGAUGCGCGAAAGCGUGGGGAGCAAACAGGAUUAGAUACCCUGGUAGUC
RNAcentral lists this ribosomal RNA (440 nucleotides) under uncultured bacterium. RNAcentral's name for it is "partial 16S ribosomal RNA". It matches the Rfam family "Bacterial small subunit ribosomal RNA", at positions 338 to 795 of the family's 1533-position model. The record is from RNAcentral.